AACGUAGGAGGCGAGCGUUAUCCGGAAUUACUGGGCGUAAAGCGCGCGUAGGCGGUUAUCUAAGUGGUGCGUGAAAGCUCCCGGCUCAACUGGGAGAGGUCGUACCAAACUGGAUGACUUGAGACAGAUAGAGGUCAGUGGAAUUCCGGGUGGAGAGGUGAAAUGCGUAGAGAUCCGGAGGAACACCAGAGGCGAAGGCGACUGGCUGGGUCUGUUCUGACGCUGAGGCGCGAAAGCGUGGGGAGCGAACGGG
Molecule: ribosomal RNA, 253 nt
Filed under: uncultured bacterium
Lineage: Bacteria
Description: partial 16S ribosomal RNA
Rfam family: Bacterial small subunit ribosomal RNA
Source: RNAcentral